GAAAUGCGAUACGUAAUGUGAAUUGCAGAAUUCAGUGAAUCAUCGAAUCUUUGAACGCACCUUGCGCCCCUUGGUAUUCCGAGGGGCACACCCGUUUGAGUGUCGUGAACACAUCCUCAACCUUCUUUUGGUCUUUUGACCAGGGAAGGCUUGGACUUUGGAGGUCUUUCAUUGCUGGUAUCCUUUUAAAGCCAGCUCCUCCUAAAUGAAUCAGUGGGAUCCGCUUUGGUGAUCCUCGACGUGAUAAGCAUUAUUCUACGUCUUGGGUUUUCACAGCAACCUGCUUCCAACCGUCUUUAAACAAAGACAAUGUUCGGGUUUCGACUCGACCCACAAAACCUUGACCUCAAAUCGGGUGAGACUACCCGCUGAACUUAA
This 378-nucleotide ribosomal RNA is filed under the name Russula mariae. Its description in RNAcentral is "eukaryotic LSU rRNA". The stretch from base 1 to 105 matches the Rfam family "5.8S ribosomal RNA", at positions 50 to 154 of the family's 154-position model. Lineage: Eukaryota; Fungi; Basidiomycota; Agaricomycetes; Russulales; Russulaceae. The record is from RNAcentral.